RNAcentral lists this RNase P RNA (330 nucleotides) under Clostridiales bacterium. Its description in RNAcentral is "RNase P RNA component class A". It matches the Rfam family "Bacterial RNase P class A". From Rfam's summary of the family: Ribonuclease P (RNase P) is a ubiquitous endoribonuclease, found in archaea, bacteria and eukarya as well as chloroplasts and mitochondria. Its best characterised activity is the generation of mature 5'-ends of tRNAs by cleaving the 5'-leader elements of precursor-tRNAs. The record is from RNAcentral. Lineage: Bacteria; Bacillati; Bacillota; Clostridia; Eubacteriales.
UGAGGCGGCCGAAUGGUCGCAUGCCGUAAGGCAUGAGGAAAGUCCGAGCACCACAGGGCAAAGUGCCAGCUAAUGGCUGGUGGAGGCGACUCCAAGGCAAGUGCAACAGAAAUAUACCGCCGAGCGAUCGGUAAGGGUGGAAAGGUGCGGUAAGAGCGUACCGGCGGCAUGGCGACUUGACCGUCCUGUAAACCCCACUUGGUGCAAGAUAAAUGAAAGCGCAUGGGCUGCCCGUCCUGCUUUCGACCAUCGCUAGAGCUCUCCGGCGACGGAGCGCGUAGAUAGAUGACCAUUCAUGACAGAACUCGGCUUACAGGCCGCGCUCAUUUC